This is a non-coding RNA of Aspergillus nanangensis, 110 nucleotides long. Lineage: Eukaryota; Fungi; Ascomycota; Eurotiomycetes; Eurotiales; Aspergillaceae. The record is from the annotation of a GenBank genome assembly.
GGUAAGGUGGCCGAGUGGUCUAAGGCGCACGGUUCAGGUCUACCUGAUCCUAUCCAUUAGUGGAUUUCCGUGUCUCGAGAGGGACCUGGGUUCGAAUCCCAGCCUUAUCA